Long non-coding RNA from Acromyrmex echinatior (Panamanian leafcutter ant), 1217 nucleotides. The record is from RefSeq and is a predicted model, not a curated record. NCBI's taxonomy places the organism in Eukaryota, Metazoa, Arthropoda, Insecta, Hymenoptera, Formicidae.
UCGAAGAGGAGAGGUAUGCAUUGCGUAGCGUGCAUACGGUAGAAGCUCAACUCGUCUCGAUACGUAAUAACCUUUGAUUGAUAAAAAUUUGACCAGCAUAAUUCUUUCACAACAUGGUUGUGCACAUGCAUAUGUGCGGCUGAGAGAUCCGUGUAAAGCACUGCCCGACACUAGUCGGGCAGUGCGGUUCUAUAGAAAGAAGGGGCACGGUCACCGCCGAAUGCGUUUCUGGGUCUCUCUGCGGGCCUUGCGGCCACGUGACGCCGAAGAGUACGCAGCUCACGAUAGAAAUGUAGGAUACCGCCGGACUUAGAGAACGCAGUUGAUCUAAUUUCGCAAUCGAUUGCAAACGUCACUUUGGAAAGAUGAAAAAUUUAUGUAUAAUAAAAGAAGCAUUGUUGAAAGCGUCAAAGGAAGCAUCAAUCUUAGCAACGAAGUCACAAAAAUCGUCAAAGAUAAUAAUUGAUAUUGCCGUUGUUCUUAACGAAAUUUUAAAGAUUCAAAUUGAUAUAAAACGUUUUCUUGAGACAUCUGCCGUCAUUAAGAAAGGAAUUGCUUCGAUUGGUAAAUAAUUUUCCGAAAAGUAUGACGUUGAGUUCCCAAUGCGUACACUAGAAGACUUAAAUGUAUUCCAAGAUAAAUUAAAGGCAAACAAAAAGUGUUGUCAUGAUUUUUCAAUUACUAAGAGCGCUACCUAUAUAAUAAAGAAAAUAAUGGCACGUGAUUUGUCAUUAAGGUGCACAGCACAAAAAAGGUGUAAAACUUAAAGAUACUCUGAUGUACAUAGUUGACUCCCUCUUAAUGAUCUAUGAGAAAGAUGAGAAAGGCAUCACAUUUUCAAACACAUACGUUCAGCUGUGGGAAUUUGCUUGACUAAUUCUAAAGAUUGGGAUGGGUUUAGAGCUCAUCGAUCAAAUAAAACAAAGCUAGAAUGUGAAUAGUUCGAAUUUGAAUCGAAUUGAAUCGAAAUGGAUUUAAUUCGAUUCGUUUUCAAAUCUGAUUAAGCGGUUCAAAUUCAAUUCAUACUAUCACUUUAUAAUAUUAUUAUUAACACUAUAUUACUAUUACUAUAUUACUAUUAGUGUUUGACUCUUAAUUAUCUGUUCCUGUUGCCUGUGCUUUUCAUUGUAUUUGGACCUUACUGCAUUGUAACUUACGUUUAAUUAUAUUGUCUACAUUAAAUGAACAAAAUAAAAAGCAGAUAUAUAUUAUAUAAA